This 500-nucleotide ribosomal RNA is filed under the name uncultured bacterium. Its description in RNAcentral is "partial 16S ribosomal RNA". It matches the Rfam family "Bacterial small subunit ribosomal RNA", at positions 30 to 523 of the family's 1533-position model. The record is from RNAcentral.
AUUGAACGCUGGCGGAAUGCUUUACACAUGCAAGUCGAACGGCAGCACGGACUUCGGUCUGGUGGCGAGUGGCGAACGGGUGAGUAAUGUAUCGGAACGUGCCCAGUCGUGGGGGAUAACGUAGUGAAAAUUACGCUAAUACCGCAUACGAUCUAUGGAUGAAAGCGGGGGAUCGCAAGACCUCGCGCGAUUGGAGCGGCCGAUAUCAGAUUAGGUAGUUGGUGGGGUAAAGGCCCACCAAGCCAACGAUCUGUAGCUGGUCUGAGAGGACGACCAGCCACGCUGGAACUGAGACACGGUCCAGACUCCUACGGGAGGCAGCAGUGGGGAAUUUUGGACAAUGGACGAAAGCCUGAUCCAGCCAUUCCGCGUGCAGGAUGAAGGCCCUCGGGUUGUAAACUGCUUUUGUACAGAGCGAAAAGGUUUCUACUAAUACUAGGAGCUCAUGACGGUACUGUAAGAAUAAGCACCGGCUAACUACGUGCCAGCAGCCGCCGUAA